Molecule: ribosomal RNA, 490 nt
Filed under: Haemophilus sp. 'paraurethrae'
Lineage: Bacteria; Pseudomonadati; Pseudomonadota; Gammaproteobacteria; Pasteurellales; Pasteurellaceae
Description: bacterial SSU rRNA
Rfam family: Bacterial small subunit ribosomal RNA
Source: RNAcentral
GAUUGAACGCUGGCGGCAGGCUUAACACAUGCAAGUCGAACGGUAACAUAGAGAAGCUUGCUUCUUUGAUGACGAGUGGCGGACGGGUGAGUAAUGCUUGGGAAUCUGGCUUAUGGAGGGGGAUAACUACGGGAAACUGUAGCUAAUACCGCGUAAUAUCGAAAGAUUAAAGUGUGGGACCUUCGGGCCACAUGCCAUAGGAUGAGCCCAAGUGGGAUUAGGUAGUUGGUGAGGUAAAGGCUCACCAAGCCGACGAUCUCUAGCUGGUCUGAGAGGAUGACCAGCCACACUGGGACUGAGACACGGCCCAGACUCCUACGGGAGGCAGCAGUGGGGAAUAUUGCGCAAUGGGGGCAACCCUGACGCAGCCAUGCCGCGUGAAUGAAGAAGGCCUUCGGGUUGUAAAGUUCUUUCGGUAGCGAGGAAGGUGGUUAGUUUAAUAGGCUAGCCAAUUGACGUUAACUACAGAAGAAGCACCGGCUAACUCCGU